CACUGUGAAGGCAGAGACAGAGGUUGAGCUUGAAGUGAAGGCUGCAGCUGGCAGUGAUGGUGUGUUGAGGGCAGUUGACUGUUUUGCUCUACCAUGUGUGCCCUCUGACAGUGAAGAAUGGUUGAGAUUUGUCAGAAGUUGUCCUGGGCCCUGCUGGGGUUUCAGUGUUCUGCUUAUGAAGACGGAUGCUUCUGCUGCUCCUGUGCUGCUGCCUCAGAUCCUCGUCCAAGCCACAGCAUUCCCAUCACCGUGUGACAGCUCUGGCCUUUCCUCAGAGCUGGCGGGAGUGAUGAAUUGGUGUCCGGCCAACUUAGAUGGAGGGUGUCACAUUUGUUGUCCCCUGGGGUGUGAGGCAUGUAACUGGAAUGGGUUCUGGAACCUGCUGCAUGUUUAAUGCAGUUUGGAUGCUUUUGUCUGCAGGGGCUGCAUUCCCUGCAUGACAGCUCAUGUUAUCCUGCCCCCGUCAUUACAAGCAAGGAAGGCUCUCCUUGGAGCAAUGACAAGUAUGGGAGGGCCUUGUCUGUAAGGAGAGGAGUCAGGGCUUGGCUCUCCCCUGCCACCCAGAAAGCUUUAGUGGUUCAUCUCUGGCAGCUUGUGAAGUGGGGAAGAGGCAUCUGGGAUGCUGCAGCACAGUGUGUUUUUGUACUGUAUAGAGCCUAUUUAAUAAAAUCUGAGUACUGGGUGAACUCA
Molecule: long non-coding RNA, 690 nt
Organism: Neopelma chrysocephalum (saffron-crested tyrant-manakin)
Lineage: Eukaryota; Metazoa; Chordata; Aves; Passeriformes; Pipridae
Exons: 2
Source: RefSeq, a predicted model, not a curated record